UCUGGGCGUAAGCGUGCGCAGGCGGUUUCGAAGACAGAGGUGAAUCCCCGGGCUCACCUGGGAACUGCCUUUGUGACUGCGAGGCUAGAGUACGGCAGAGGGGGGUGGAAUUCCACGUGUAGCAGUGAAAUGCGUAGAGAUGUGGAGGAACACCGAUGGCGAAGGCAGCCCCCUGGGCCGAUACUGACGCUCAUGCACGAAAGCGUGGGGAGCAAACAGGAUUAGAUACCCUGGUAGUCCACGCCCUAAACGAUGUCAACUAGGUGUUGGGUGGCUAAAACCUUUGAGUACCGCAGCUAACGCGUGAAGUUGACCGCCUGGGGAGCACGGCCGCAAGGUUA
This 341-nucleotide ribosomal RNA is filed under the name uncultured bacterium. Its description in RNAcentral is "bacterial SSU rRNA". It matches the Rfam family "Bacterial small subunit ribosomal RNA", at positions 553 to 896 of the family's 1533-position model. The record is from RNAcentral.